GAUGAGUAGGAGCAGAGCUGGCUCGUGCUGCAGUUGCUUAGCCACCUGUCUUUGAAAGUAUGCACACGAGCCAGCCUCUAAGUCACCCCUGCUGACAACGGGUGCCAUGGAUUACUAAGACUCAGAGAAGCAGGUUGUUCUCUGCAUGUAAUGCUCAGCAUCUUCUUGCAGAGGAAGGAGCGUCGCGUCGUGAGCCCACCCGAGGGUCUCCAAGCCACUGCUAGGAGCAGUGUGCACUCCGACCCUGAUCGUGGGCCGGUGUCCUGGCUUAUCUCCCUUAAGAAUUCAUCUGUCCUCCAGAAACUACAAGUCAUGGGUGUUCUCAUUCCUUCCAUUUCUAUAAUUUGCAGGACCUUCCAGGCCGAGAGAAAAUAAAGCCAAUUCUAGAUAAUGCUGGAAUGAUUAUAUUGCUUCAAAAAUCACCAUAGGUUUAAGAAAGUUUUGUAUUUUGUUUUAUUUUUUAUUAUUUUUUUAGAUUAAAAUGAUCAUGGUUUUCUAAACUGAUUAGCAUAGUUUUUAAGCCACUCUGAAGUGUUUGUUAGGCUUCGCAUGCUGGUCUCCAUAUGCCUCUUUUCAAUUACAUGUGCUGCCGCAAGGAUGGCUGAACGAAUGCUUCUUUAAAAACAGAAAGCAAACUGUUAGGCUUUGUACAGUGUAACUAGUUAGCGUGCGACGUCUCAAACUGCCCUGAUUUCAUCACCAAACUGCUAGCUGUUCUGUUUGCAGAAAUAGCCACUAAAAAGUGCCUGAAAAUGAGAUGCUCCACGCGAGUUAAAGGACACGGAAGGGAACCGAGAAAGACUUAAAAUAACGCGAGAUCGGGCCAUGUUUGGAGCUGCUGCCAAGGGCUCUCACUUUUGAAGGGAGCAAACAUAAUACCCCGUGACUCUAAUGUUUAGCGAAUAUUAUUUAUGUUUGGCUGAUUCAGAAAAUUUCAAGUUAUUUGAAAAUAUACCUAAUUGCUCAUUACAGCGAUUUGUAAAGCAAGUACUGCCGUUUCACAUCUUAGAACCCUCCAGCAGAAAGACACAGUGUUUUAUUUUCGUGAGGGCAAGGAGAGAGGUGGUGUUUAAAACAAGGCAGUGUGGUUCCAGGACUGCGUUCUGUAUUGCGGUUGCUUGGAGAAAGGGGUCAAGAUGAUAUUAGGAGGCUCUUGGUUCAUCUGUGCUUAACUUGCUGAACAUGAGGUUGUAUUGCCAGCCUGUAAAUUCUCUCCAACCCCACCUAUGUGAAUGCCUAUCGUGGAGCCAAUUCUAAGGAAAUGAUUACGGAAUGAAUGAAUGGAUGAAAUCUUAUUUUCUUGGAAGUACCAGAAGUAAACUAACUAGCAUCCAAGACAUCAGUUGGACAAAAUAAAAACAGUGUGUGAAGCA
Molecule: long non-coding RNA, 1373 nt
Organism: Mus musculus (house mouse)
Lineage: Eukaryota; Metazoa; Chordata; Mammalia; Rodentia; Muridae
Product: predicted gene, 34029
Exons: 2
Source: RefSeq, a predicted model, not a curated record